UACGGAGGGUGCUAGCGUUGUUCGGAAUUACUGGGCGUAAAGCGGGUGUAGGCGGUUUGUUAAGUCAGAUGUGAAAGCCCACGGCUCAACCGUGGAAGUGCAUCUGAAACUGGCAGACUUGAGUACCGGAGAGGGAAGUGGAAUUCCUGGUGUAGGGGUGAAAUCCGUAGAUAUCAGGAGGAACACCGGUGGCGAAGGCGACUUCCUGGACGGAUACUGACGCUGAGAUCCGAAAGCGUGGGGAGCAAACAGGAUUAGAUACCCCCGUA
RNAcentral lists this ribosomal RNA (269 nucleotides) under uncultured prokaryote. RNAcentral describes it as "partial 16S ribosomal RNA". It matches the Rfam family "Bacterial small subunit ribosomal RNA", at positions 524 to 792 of the family's 1533-position model. The record is from RNAcentral.